CGCAGUAUUUUGACUGUGCAAAGGUAGCAUAAUCAUUAGUUUUUUAAUUGAAGACUUGAAUGAAGGGUUGGACGAGAAGCUAGCUGUCUUUAUUGAAAGCGUUGAAUUUAACUUUUAAGUGAGAAGGCUUAAAUGUUUUGAAGGGACGAUAAGACCCUAUAAAAUUUAACAAUUGUAAAUUAAUGGGGGAAAUAGUAUAAAGUUAAAAGUAUUAUUAAGGGGUGUAUUGUUUUGUUGGGGCGACAGGAAUAAAAAGUAAAUNUAACUGUUCNUUUAAUUGAAUUUAGUGAUGAUUAAGGUUUAUGAUCCUCAUUAGGGAUUUAAAGAGUAAAUUACUUUAGGGAUAACAGCGUAAUUUUUUUUGAGAGUUCUUAUCGAUAGAGAAGUUUGCGACCUCGAUGUUGAAUUAAAAGUUCUUUAUAGCGCAGUAGUUAUAGAAAGAAGGUCUGUUCGACCUUUAAAUUUUUACAUGAUUUGA
RNAcentral lists this ribosomal RNA (478 nucleotides) under Engaewa similis. RNAcentral describes it as "partial 16S ribosomal RNA". It matches the Rfam family "Bacterial large subunit ribosomal RNA", at positions 1932 to 2608 of the family's 2925-position model. The record is from RNAcentral. Lineage: Eukaryota; Metazoa; Arthropoda; Malacostraca; Decapoda; Parastacidae.